UUAAGCGAACAAGCGUACACGGUGGAUGCCCUGGCAGUCAGAGGCGAUGAAGGACGUGCUAAUCUGCGAAAAGCGCCGGUAAGGUGAUAUGAACCGUUAUAGCCGGCGAUGUCCGAAUGGGGAAACCCAGUGUGAUUCGUCACACUAUCUCAGCAUGAAUACAUAGUGCUGUGAGGCGAACCGGGGGAACUGAAACAUCUAAGUACCCCGAGGAAAAGAAAUCAACCGAGAUUCCCCCAGUAGCGGCGAGCGAACGGGGAACAGCCCAGAGCCUGAAUCAGUUUGUGUGUCAGUGGAACGGUCUGGAAAGGCCGGCGAUACAGGGUGACAGCCCCGUACACGAAGGCACACAGGCUGUGAGCUCGAUGAGUAGGGCGGGACACGUGAUAUCCUGUCUGAAGAUGGGGGGACCAUCCUCCAAGGCUAAAUACUCCUGACUGACCGAUAGUGAACCAGUACCGUGAGGGAAAGGCGAAAAGAACCCCGGCGAGGGGAGUGAAACAGAACCUGAAACCGUGUACGUACAAGCAGUGGGAGCCUUCGUAAGAGGGUGACUGCGUACCUUUUGUAUAAUGGGUCAGCGACUUAUAUUCUGUAGCAAGGUUAACCGCAUAGGGGAGCCGAAGGGAAACCGAGUCUUAAUUGGGCGUUAAGUUGCAGGGUAUAGACCCGAAACCCGGUGAUCUAGCCAUGGGCAGGUUGAAGGUUGGGUAACACUAACUGGAGGACCGAACCGACUAAUGUUGAAAAAUUAGCGGAUGACCUGUGGCUGGGGGUGAAAGGCCAAUCAAACCGGGAGAUAGCUGGUUCUCCCCGAAAGCUAUUUAGGUAGCGCCUCGUGAAUUCAUCUUCGGGGGUAGAGCACUGUUUCGGCUAGGGGGCCAUCCCGGCUUACCAACCCGAUGCAAACUACGAAUACCGAAGAAUGUUAUCACGGGAGACACACGGCGGGUGCUAACGUCCGUCGUGAAGAGGGAAACAACCCAGACCGCCAGCUAAGGUCCCAAAGUCAUGGUUAAGUGGGAAACGAUGUGGGAAGGCACAGACAGCCAGGAUGUUGGCUUAGAAGCAGCCAUCAUUUAAAGAAAGCGUAAUAGCUCACUGGUCGAGUCGGCCUGCGCGGAAGAUGUAACGGGGCUAAACCAUGCACCGAAGCUGCGGCAGCGACACUAUGUGUUGUUGGGUAGGGGAGCGUUCUGUAAGCCUGUGAAGGUGUGCUGUGAGGCAUGCUGGAGGUAUCAGAAGUGCGAAUGCUGACAUAAGUAACGAUAAAGCGGGUGAAAAGCCCGCUCGCCGGAAGACCAAGGGUUCCUGUCCAACGUUAAUCGGGGCAGGGUGAGUCGACCCCUAAGGCGAGGCCGAAAGGCGUAGUCGAUGGGAAACAGGUUAAUAUUCCUGUACUUGGUGUUACUGCGAAGGGGGGACGGAGAAGGCUAUGUUGGCCGGGCGACGGUUGUCCCGGUUUAAGCGUGUAGGUGUGUGUUCCAGGUAAAUCCGGUUCACUUUAACACUGAGGCGUGAUGACGAGGCACUACGGUGCUGAAGUAACAAAUGCCCUGCUUCCAGGAAAAGCCUCUAAGCAUCAGGUAACACGAAAUCGUACCCCAAACCGACACAGGUGGUCAGGUAGAGAAUACCAAGGCGCUUGAGAGAACUCGGGUGAAGGAACUAGGCAAAAUGGUGCCGUAACUUCGGGAGAAGGCACGCUGACAUGUAGGUGAAGCCCCUGCGGGUGGAGCUGAAGUCAGUCGAAGAUACCAGCUGGCUGCAACUGUUUAUUAAAAACACAGCACUGUGCAAACACGAAAGUGGACGUAUACGGUGUGACGCCUGCCCGGUGCCGGAAGGUUAAUUGAUGGGGUUAUCGCAAGAGAAGCUCCUGAUCGAAGCCCCGGUAAACGGCGGCCGUAACUAUAACGGUCCUAAGGUAGCGAAAUUCCUUGUCGGGUAAGUUCCGACCUGCACGAAUGGCGUAAUGAUGGCCAGGCUGUCUCCACCCGAGACUCAGUGAAAUUGAACUCGCUGUGAAGAUGCAGUGUACCCGCGGCAAGACGGAAAGACCCCGUGAACCUUUACUACAGCUUGACACUGAACAUUGAGCCUUGAUGUGUAGGAUAGGUGGGAGGCUUUGAAGCGUGGACGCCAGUCUGCGUGGAGCCAACCUUGAAAUACCACCCUUUAAUGUUUGAUGUUCUAACCUGGCGCCAUAAUCUGGCGUGGGGACAGUGUCUGGUGGGUAGUUUGACUGGGGCGGUCUCCUCCCAAAGUGUAACGGAGGAGCACGAAGGUCAGCUAAUCCUGGUCGGACAUCAGGAGGUUAGUGCAAUGGCAUAAGCUGGCUUGACUGCGAGAGUGACGGCUCGAGCAGGUGCGAAAGCAGGUCAUAGUGAUCCGGUGGUUCUGUAUGGAAGGGCCAUCGCUCAACGGAUAAAAGGUACUCCGGGGAUAACAGGCUGAUACCGCCCAAGAGUUCAUAUCGACGGCGGUGUUUGGCACCUCGAUGUCGGCUCAUCACAUCCUGGGGCUGAAGUAGGUCCCAAGGGUAUGGCUGUUCGCCAUUUAAAGUGGUACGCGAGCUGGGUUUAGAACGUCGUGAGACAGUUCGGUCCCUAUCUGCCGUGGGCGCUGGAGAAUUGAGGGGGGCUGCUCCCAGUACGAGAGGACCGGAGUGGACGCAUCACUGGUGUUCGGGUUGUCAUGCCAAUGGCACUGCCCGGUAGCUAAAUGCGGAAGAGAUAAGUGCUGAAAGCAUCUAAGCACGAAACUUGCCCCGAGAUGAGUUCUCCCUGAGACUAUAAGUCUCCUGAAGGAACGUUGAAGACGACGACGUUGAUAGGCCGGGUGUGUAAGCGCAGCGAUGCGUUGAGCUAACCGGUACUAAUGAACCGUGAGGCUUAACCUU
Molecule: ribosomal RNA, 2902 nt
Filed under: Cronobacter dublinensis
Lineage: Bacteria; Pseudomonadati; Pseudomonadota; Gammaproteobacteria; Enterobacterales; Enterobacteriaceae
Description: bacterial LSU rRNA
Rfam family: Bacterial large subunit ribosomal RNA
Source: RNAcentral